RNAcentral lists this ribosomal RNA (468 nucleotides) under uncultured bacterium. Its description in RNAcentral is "partial 16S ribosomal RNA". It matches the Rfam family "Bacterial small subunit ribosomal RNA", at positions 28 to 507 of the family's 1533-position model. The record is from RNAcentral.
GACGAACGCUGGCGGCGUGCUUAACACAUGCAAGUCGAACGGAAAGGCCCUGCUUUUGUGGGGUGCUCGAGUGGCGAACGGGUGAGUAACACGUGAGUAACCUGCCCUUGACUUUGGGAUAACUUCAGGAAACUGGGGCUAAUACCGGAUAGGAGCUCCUGCUGCAUGGUGGGGGUUGGAAAGGUUCGGCGGUUGGGGAUGGACUCGCGGCUUAUCAGCUUGUUGGUGGGGUAGUGGCUUACCAAGGCUUUGACGGGUAGCCGGCCUGAGAGGGUGACCGGCCUCAUUGGGACUGAGAUACGGACCAGACUCGUACGGGAGGCAGCAGUGGGGAAUAUUGCGCAAUGGGCGGAAGCCUGAUGCAGCAACGCCGCGUGCGGGAUGACGGCCUUCGGGUUGUAAACCGCUUUCGCCUGUGACGAAGCGUGAGUGACGGUAAUGGGUAAAGAAGCACCGGCUAACUACGUG